CCUACGGGAGGCAGCAGUGAGGAAUAUUGGUCAAUGGGCUUACGCCUGAACCAGCCAAGUCGCGUGAGGGAAGACUGCCCUAUGGGUUGUAAACCUCUUUUGUCAGGGAGCAAUUUGCGCUACGUGUAGCUUUCUCUAUAGUACCUACAGACAAAGCAUCGGCUAACUCCGUCCCAGCAGCCGCGGUAAUCCGGAGGAUGCGAGCGUUCUCCGGAUUUAUUGGGUUAAACGGGUGCGUAGGCGGAAUGCCAAGUCAGCGGUAAAAUCGCGGGGCUCAACCUCGCUCCGCCGUUGAAACUGGCGGGCGUGAGUGGGCGAGAAGUAGGCGGAAUGCGUGGUGGAGCGGUGAAAUGCAUAGAUAUCACGCAGAACUCCGAUUGCGAAGGCAGCAUACCGGAGCCCAACUGACGCUGAAGCACGAAAGCGUGGGUAUCGAACAGGAUUAGAUACCCUGGUAGUC
Molecule: ribosomal RNA, 460 nt
Filed under: uncultured bacterium
Lineage: Bacteria
Description: partial 16S ribosomal RNA
Rfam family: Bacterial small subunit ribosomal RNA
Source: RNAcentral